This 250-nucleotide ribosomal RNA is filed under the name uncultured bacterium. RNAcentral's name for it is "partial 16S ribosomal RNA". It matches the Rfam family "Bacterial small subunit ribosomal RNA", at positions 524 to 773 of the family's 1533-position model. The record is from RNAcentral.
UACGGAGGGUGCAAGCGUUAUCCGGAUUUAUUGGGUUUAAAGGGUCCGUAGGCGGACUUGUAAGUCAGUGGUGAAAUCUCACAGCUUAACUGUGAAACUGCCGUUGAUACUGCAGGUCUUGAGUAAAUUUGAAGUGGCUGGAAUAAGUAGUGUAGCGGUGAAAUGCAUAGAUAUUACUUAGAACACCAAUUGCGAAGGCAGGUCACUAAGAUUUAACUGACGCUGAGGGACGAAAGCGUGGGGAGCGAAC